This 1047-nucleotide long non-coding RNA is filed under the name Cucumis sativus (cucumber). Its description in RNAcentral is "long non-coding RNA (CSAT_LNC000271)". Lineage: Eukaryota; Viridiplantae; Streptophyta; Magnoliopsida; Cucurbitales; Cucurbitaceae. The record is from RNAcentral.
UACAAAAGAAAAAUAGCAUUACUAUGGUAAGACAAGCAAGUGUCGUCAUCGUGUUUGUCGCUGUCAUUGCUGUUGUCAUCAUGACAGUAUCAAACGAAGAAUUUCUCCGGAGUGCUUAAAAGAUUUUUCAGUUUCCUCAAGGCAAUGGUUCUUCUCCUCCCUACUCCAGCUCUGGUAUAAGAACAAAUAGUAAUCAACAUUGUGUUUAGUAUAGCUUUAUCGAAAAAAAUGGUUUGGUAGAACGGAAAUUACAAAAGGACAUUCUAGGAAGGAAGAGAGUGACUUACUUCGGCGACUUUGUUCAGCUUCUCCCUUACGUUCUGCAAUAUUUGGGAAAGGUCACCGUCCCAUUUAUAAAAUUCCAACUCCUUGUUGUCGAGUAUCUUUUCUGCUACCUGAAGUAGAUGAACGUAGAAGUGUGUGAGACCAAGUCAAAUUAUAGUUGCAAGGGAAGAACUAACACAGCUUGAAGACAGGAAAGGAUUACGUGGAAACGUAGAUUAUAUGAUAGUUAUGUACAUGACUGUGAAAUUCCAACAAAUAUAACGUUUUGACACUUUUAAAUAGUUCGUUGCAACUUUAGGACAAGUAACAAUAGCCAGCUGAAUUAUGCUCAAAACAAAUACUUUCAAUCUUUAUAUGGUAGAUUAUACAAUAGUUCUGUGUAGGGAGCACAUCAUAACUAAAAAUCGUUCACUUUAAGUCUUUUACUAUCAACUCAUGGCAGUCAACUCAAAACCAAUCAUGUAACAAGAAGAACGAAUAUGAACAUAUGGUGAAUGUGAAUAUGCAUACAUAUAUAUACAAAGCUCAGAAAGAGAUUUUCAAGAAAAUGUUUGUUUACCUUUCGCCCAAUCAUUCUACCACCAGCAGUGUGGGCAAAGUAUAUAUUGUAAAAAUGGCAAAUAAAUGCUUGAGGAUCCUUUUCCGACAGCUCUUCGAGAUAACGAGCAUAGGUGACUCCAGGAGAAGAAGGUUCUGGAAUGGCAUAGCCUUGUUCUUUGAACCACUCCAAAUCUUUUGCCAAUGGUUCAGACCUUUCCAAUC